CCUUAAAGCGUGCUGGAGGUAUCAGAAGUGCGAAUGCUGACAUGAGUAGCGUUAAAGGGGGUGAAAAGCCCCCUCGCCGUAAGCGCAAGGUUUUCUACGCAACGUUCAUCGGCGUAGAGUGAGUCGGCCCCUAAGGCGAGGCAGAGAUGCGUAGCUGAUGGGAAACAGGUCAAUAUUCCUGUACCGAUGUGUAGUGCGAUGUGGGGACGGAUCUUAAUAGGUCAUCCGGGUGUUGGAUAUCCCGGUUUAGUUGGAAGUAGGCGAUGGGUAGGCAAAUCCGCCCGUCAUAUACCGAGGCCAACGAUCGAGCCAGCUUGCUGGUGAAGUGACUGAACGAGGUUCCAGGAAAAGCCACUAAGCUUCAGCUAUACACGACCGUACCGCAAACCGACACUGGUGCGCGAGAUGAGUAUUCUAAGGCGCUUGAGAGAACUCAGGAGAAGGAACUCGGCAAAUUGACACCGUAACUUCGGAAGAAGGUGUGCCCUAUUAGUGUGAAGUGAACAACGGAGCAUGAAUGGGUUGCAAAAAAUCGGUGGCUGCGACUGUUUAUUAAAAACACAGCACUCUGCAAACACGAAAGUGGACGUAUAGGGUGUGACGCCUGCCCGGUGCUGGAAGAUUAAAUGAUGGGGUGCAAGCUCUUGAUUGAAGUCCCAGUAAACGGCGGCCGUAACUAUAACGGUCCUAAGGUAGCGAAAUUCCUUGUCGGGUAAGUUCCGACCUGCACGAAUGGCGUAACGAUGGCCACACUGUCUCCUCCUGAGACUCAGCGAAGUUGAAAUGUUUGUGAUGAUGCAAUCUCCCCGCGGAAAGACGGAAAGACCCCAUGAACCUUUACUGUAGCUUUGUAUUGGACUUUGAACAGAUCUGUGUAGGAUAGGUGUAGGCUUUGAAGCAGGGUCGCUAGAUCUUGUGGAGCCAACGUUGAAAUACCACCCUGGUGUGUUUGAGGUUCUAACCUAGGUCCAUUAUCUGGAUCGGGGACAGUGCAUGGUAGGCAGUUUGACUGGGGCGGUCUCCUCCCAAAGCGUAACGGAGGAGUUCGAAGGUACGCUAGUUACGGUCGGACAUCGUGACGAUAGUGCAAUGGCAUAAGCGUGCUUAACUGCGAGACUGACAAGUCGAGCAGAUGCGAAAGCAGGACAUAGUGAUCCGGUGGUUCUGUAUGGAAGGGCCAUCGCUCAACGGAUAAAAGGUACUCUGGGGAUAACAGGCUGAUACCGCCCAAGAGUUCAUAUCGACGGCGGUGUUUGGCACCUCGAUGUCGGCUCAUCUCAUCCUGGGGCUGUAGCCGGUCCCAAGGGUAUGGCUGUUCGCCAUUUAAAGAGGUACGUGAGCUGGGUUUAAAACGUCGUGAGACAGUUUGGUCCCUAUCUUCCGUGGGCGCUGCAGAUUUGAGGAAGCCUGCUCCUAGUACGAGAGGACCGGAGUGGACACACCUCUGGUGUAUCGGUUGUCACGCCAGUGGCAUUGCCGAGUAGCUAAGUGUGGAAGAGAUAACCGCUGAAAGCAUCUAAGCGGGAAACUCGUUUCAAGAUGAGAUCUGCCGGGGCCUUGAGCCCCCUGAAGAGUCGUUCAAGACCAGGACGUUGAUAGGUCAGGUGUGGAAGCGCAGUAAUGCGUUAAGCUAACUGAUACUAAUUGCUCGUGCGGCUUGACC
Molecule: ribosomal RNA, 1663 nt
Filed under: metagenome
Description: bacterial LSU rRNA
Rfam family: Bacterial large subunit ribosomal RNA
Source: RNAcentral